UACGGAGGGUGCAAGCGUUGCUCGGAAUUAUUGGGCGUAAAGGGUAGGUAGGUGGUCUCGUUUGUCUGGGGUGAAAGCCUUGAGCUUAACUCAAGAAGUGCCCCAGAAACGGCGAGACUCGAGUACUGGAGAGGGUCGUGGAAUUCCCGGUGUAGCGGUGAAAUGCGUAGAGAUCGGGAGGAACACCAGAGGCGAAGGCGGCGACCUGGACAGUAACUGACACUCAACUACGAAAGCGUGGGGAGCAAACAGG
Molecule: ribosomal RNA, 253 nt
Filed under: uncultured bacterium
Lineage: Bacteria
Description: partial 16S ribosomal RNA
Rfam family: Bacterial small subunit ribosomal RNA
Source: RNAcentral